AAUGUAUAGAUAACCUGCCCUUAAGAAAGGAAUACUUGUUGGAAACGACUGCUAAUGCCCUAUAUGCCUUUAAUACAUAAGUAUGCAAGGGAAACGCUUUAGUGCUUAAGGAUGGGUCUGUAUGGUAUCAGCUUGUUGGUGAGGUAAUGGCUCACCAAGGCUAUGACGCCUAACUGGUUUGAGAGGAUGAUCAGUCACACUGGAACUGAGACACGGUCCAGACUCCUACGGGAGGCAGCAGUGGGGAAUAUUGCACAAUGGACGAAAGUCUGAUGCAGCAACGCCGCGUGGAGGAUGACACAUUUCGGUGCGUAAACUCCUUUUAUAUAGGAAGAUAAUGACGGUACUAUAUGAAUAAGCACCGGCUAACUCCGUGCCAGCAGCCGCGGUAAUACGGAGGGUGCAAGCGUUACUCGGAAUCACUGGGCGUAAAGAGCGUGUAGGCGGGUAUAUAAGUCAGAAGUGAAAUCCAAUAGCUCAACUAUUGAACUGCUUUUGAAACUGUAUACCUAGAAUGUGGGAGAGGUAGAUGGAAUUUCUGGUGUAGGGGUAAAAUCCGUAGAGAUCAGAAGGAAUACCGAUUGCGAAGGCGAUCUACUGGAACAUUAUUGACGCUGAGACGCGAAAGCGUGGGGAGCAAACAGGAUUAGAUACCCUGGUAGUCCACGCCCUAAACGAUGUACACUAGUUGUUGUGAGGCUCGACCUUGCAGUAAUGCAGUUAACACAUUAAGUGUACCGCCUGNGGAGUACGGUCGCAAGAUUAAAACUCAAAGGAAUAGACGGGGACCCGCACAAG
RNAcentral lists this ribosomal RNA (798 nucleotides) under uncultured bacterium. RNAcentral's name for it is "bacterial SSU rRNA". It matches the Rfam family "Bacterial small subunit ribosomal RNA", at positions 112 to 929 of the family's 1533-position model. The record is from RNAcentral.